This is an unclassified non-coding RNA of Erinaceus europaeus (western European hedgehog), 264 nucleotides long. Its record names the gene 7SK. It matches the Rfam family "7SK RNA". Rfam says of the family: 7SK was discovered as an abundant small nuclear RNA in the mid-70s but a possible function has only recently been suggested. Two independent studies have found that 7SK RNA binds the CDK9/cyclin T complex (known as elongation factor P-TEFb). P-TEFb activates transcription by phosphorylating the C-terminal domain of RNA polymerase II. The record is from Ensembl. Lineage: Eukaryota; Metazoa; Chordata; Mammalia; Eulipotyphla; Erinaceidae.
AGAUGUGAGGGCGAUCUGGCUGCGACAUCUGUCACCCCACUGAUUGCCAGGGCUGAUUCUGAUGAUCUGGUUGGCUAGGUAGGUGUCCCCUUCCUCCCUUACCAUCCCAUGUGCGUCCUGAAGCUACGUGCUUGGUGGAAGAGGAAGGCCUUCCCCAAACAGAGACUGAGGUAUACUAGUAGCUGCUCCCCUGCUAGAACCUCAAACAAGCUUUCAAGGCCCAGGGCUCUGGGUCUUCAAAGCUCACAGCAAUGAUGUUUCCGU